AGCGUGUCUAAUGAGAAGAUAAGAAUUGGUGUGGGAAAGACACACAACUUGUUAUCGUCAGUUUCCUAUCAGCUUCUC
Non-coding RNA from Caenorhabditis elegans, 78 nucleotides. The record is from Ensembl. NCBI's taxonomy places the organism in Eukaryota, Metazoa, Nematoda, Chromadorea, Rhabditida, Rhabditidae.